This 72-nucleotide transfer RNA is filed under the name Ovis aries (sheep). It matches the Rfam family "tRNA". From Rfam's summary of the family: Transfer RNA (tRNA) molecules are approximately 80 nucleotides in length. Their secondary structure includes four short double-helical elements and three loops (D, anti-codon, and T loops). The record is from Rfam by way of RNAcentral. Lineage: Eukaryota; Metazoa; Chordata; Mammalia; Artiodactyla; Bovidae.
UCCCGGGUGGCUUAGAUGGUAAAGAAUCCGCCUGCAAUGCAGGAGGCCCAGGUUUGAUCCCCGGGCCGGGAA